UGUGGCCAAACAGUAAUCCUACCCUCGAUGGAUCCUUCAAAAUGCGUCGUGAAUUAAUUAGCUAACGUUGUGAGCCGUAUGUGUUUCUUGGCCUUCGAAUGAUUGCGUAAACGCAGCCGUGCUUGCCAAAACUCUAUUGGUAAAAGCAAUUUACUUCCAGAAUUACAGACCGCAUGGAAAAAUUUAUAGUUGUGUCGGUGUUUGUGACUGUGGUAAAAUUUACCGAACAAAAUUUUAAAGUGGAGUACCUCGACUUUGAUACUAAUCCAAUUUCGGAAAGAUCAGUGUCACUUUCUUACUUUGUUCCGCUGAAAUUGUUAAAUCCCGUCUCCUAUAAUCUUUAUUCUGUUCUUUUUGACAACCCUCAUUGUUAAUUAUGUUUUUCCAGUAAUACACAAUGUCAUAAUACUAAUAGACUUAAGUAUGAAUUAUUAUACAUUGUACCUAAACAAAAGCAGAUAUUUUAACGAGAUUUUUUGCGCAUGAUAAAACUGUCAUUCUGAAAACUUAUAUGGAACCACCAUUUAUCACUAUUAUACCUUUAAUCCAAAACCCAAACAAAUGUUUCCUUCGAAAACGUGCGAAAUCGUUUUUAAUAAUACACUCGGAAGAAUCAAACAUUGAGCUCUAGUUCAAUUACCAUCCAUACGUAGUAACCCAGCGGAUUCAAAUCUGGGCAAGAUGUGAACCAGUCUGUACGGCUUACCAGAAAACAAUCGAACGAGACAAUUGUACCAAGACAGUGAUUUGUUUCGGUGGCAACGCUGAAUAAAUUGGGGCGUGGACUGAUGCGCGAGGAGGCAGCAGUUGUCGUUGUCGAAAGUAUACGAGAUUACGAGUCUUAGCAAUAAUGCAAGUAGCAAUAGAACAACAUGAUACUAAAUAGUUCUGACGAGUCAUGUUAGCUGAAUGGUGAGGCUCGUAUUAAAAUAUCAAUGUUUGCACGCGAGAAAAAGAUGCCCAAGAACGAGGAAAAAUGUGCACUGUUUUAUAGGCUGUUGAUUGUUAUAGGGUUCGUAGGUCGAUAAUAUGAGGAGAUUAUGAAAUAGUUUAUCAACUUCAAGUUUUCAGGUAUAUUGCAUAAAUUAGAAAAACGUAAAAUUGAGGCGAACAAUUGUUACGAACGUUAAGUUCUGAUGAAGUUAUGACUUACAGUUGUUUUUCGCGACGUCCACAACGUCGCGUUAUGGGCUCAGUUAAAAAAUGUGGUUUAAAAACGUUUUAAAAAGUUAAAAAACGGUUUUUUUUUCAUGAGGGCUGUUCAUUGGUGCAUUGGAUCCUAUAAAUUUCGAAUGAGGAAAGCUGACUUUUCUGUUAACAAUCUAUACGCUGCAUAUUAAGGUUAAGAAAUAACAAUGACAAGUAUAUCGAAGUUCAAAAGCCGCUUCUCAAUUGUUUCCAUGCCUAUCUGGUUUAGAACGAUCUCAAAAUAACAACUAAAGAUUAUCAAAUUGAGUUUUCUAUGGAAAGUUACUCUUAAUCUUAAGAUUGUUUGUUUUUUAAUAAGCCUAUUUAUCUAAUGUAGAUAAACCUUCAGAACUAACGGCUUUUCUUCCGAGUUAAUUUACUUAUUGUAUAUCAUUUUCAAAGUAUUUGAAAUUAAUACGAGUUUAAUGAUCUUCAGAAAUCAAUAAUAAUAAUAAUAGCUCUAAAAACGUGAUCAGCCAGAUUAGAGCGUUCGCUUGAAAGAUCCCUUCCGCAAAACAAAAAUUUUUAUAUGUGUCAACAUAUAUAUACAAAUUGUAUAUGGAUUUGGUAUUGUUUAGAGCUAGUGACUUGCUUUCUUUGCAUUCAGUGUGAUACGGAUGAAGAACAUUACGAUCGCAAGCACCCAUUGGGGUACAUAUCGUACACAGCCCAUCUCUGCCUUUGUCCUCCUAAUUGUUACAAUCACGAUUCCGCGUUGUAGGAAUGUGGUAGCCUUAUCGAACUGCUCAUUAUGAUAUCAUGUUUUCGCUUUACGGGAAAUUCCUUCGGUUCCUUUUUGUUUGGUAUAAGAUCAAGAGUUUUUCUGGUCAUCUAUAAUCAGUUUCAAGUGGAUCGAUGGCGGGCUUGCGUUAACCUACGUGUGAUGUCAGUUUGUGAGUGUUUCAAGCGUCGCCCUUAAUUGGAAACCAAUCUUAAAGUAAAACGGAUGAACGCAUUGUUGAAAUAAACACAGUACUUCUUACCUUUGGUCGUACACAAGCACAAAGAGAUCCGUGCUCCGGACUGCUGCUUCUACUUUACCAGAAGGCACUCUGACCCUUGUCAACAUUAAACAACUAGUCGCCGUGGAAAGAACGGAUACCCAGGAGGAUGAAUGCGCGUCCAUGCUAGAAAAGAAAGAAGAUAAUCAGGAAAGACUAUAUAUACACAUAUACGAAUACUUAAAUAAUAAAACUUAAGUUAGAUUAAAAACAUACCUCGUACAAAAUUAUAAUCUUUUAUUUAUAUACAUAUAUCGAUAGCUUUCUGAAUUACUUAGUUGGUGUCAGUGCGCAAUGUUGCACAGCGUGAAUUCCUUUUAUGAAGAAUGAGAAGAGUUUUUUAAAAUCAUGUAUAAUGUGCUCUCGAGAGAUAUUGUUUGUUUACUGAAAGUUACUGUUAGUCUCGGGGGACCGAUAAGUUCAUUAAUUGAAAACCUCUAAAUUGUUUUUCACGCUGAAUCAGCCAAGCAGAUUUUUCAGCUAACCUAAAACGUUUUUAAGUUUUAAAAAAUUCUUAGGCUUUUUAUUGCAUUUUCCAGUCGAUUGGGCAACACGCGGAUUGUUAAGCGAACAAGCAAAUCAUCCAUGGACGCGACCCAUUCGAAAACCAUCACCUAUUGUGUUGAAUCGCUUAAAUUCCAGGUCGAACCGCGGAAAUCGGAAUAAGCGUAACCCGAUGGCAUAAGGCCUACAACAUUAUCGCUCCGACGAGCUAUUUGCUCGUGCAGCGCCUUCUUUGUCGAUUUGUUGUCCCAGUUUGGCGACUUCAGUUGAGUUCGGUUUUUCACUGCAUUUAAAAAACUCUAGCAGAACUUCAGGGACCCUCUGAAGUGUCCAUGCGGGAAGGUAAUCCUGGGCUUAAUCAUUUGCUCUUGAGAAAAAAAAAGGUGUCUUAAAAUGUCCGUUUUGGAUGAUACCGAUCUUUAAUAAAAAUGACAUUUUUCUUGAGCCGUGCGUGCAGUAGUGUAUUGACGUUCAGGCAACUGCCAAUAGCCUUUCAUUGGGUUCACUUGGGAUUGAUUUUCCUUCCCUUAAAAGUUUACCUCGCGCUUGCAGCAAAGCGAUGCAAUGGCUACAACGACAAGCGGCCACGAUCUCUUGGCUAUGGAAAACGGAUUGUCGUAACAGUUGGUGAGUCCAAUCGGCCUUUCAGGCUCUAGACCGUUGACACUGGUUUUAGCAAACGUUGCUAGCUUUGACGAAAUUCACUGAGUACUUCCUUUUAAUCUUCUUUGUCUCAGCUACAUUUUUUCGCAUCGGAAAAUUAAUGGAGGAUGUAGUAUCAGAAAUGUAAUUUUUAAAUUUCACAUUUUGAGCGCGUAGAAAACUAGGCAUUUUUAAUUUAAUAGCGUUUGUGGUCUUCAACUAAUUGAGGUAGCAGAUACGUCCUUCGACUUCGAAGUCUGUUCACAGAAUUGGAUAAAUGAUUAUCGUAACUUGCUUCUAAUGCAGGAUCAUUCAUACACAAACUGAUGAACAAUUCAGAUGUCAAAUAUCUUCCUUACACAUAUUUUUAAGGUGAAUUUUUUAGAGUGAUUUAGUUGAUAUGCUUUCAUUUGCACAGGCCCUUUCCUCGAAGCGCUCGAAUAAACGUACCAAGCUGCAUAGCCAGCCUUCGCAUGAUCUCAAUCAUUAUUUUAGAAAUAGAAACACUAAACGUAAGACGCACGUCACCUAACUAGGCAGGAUAAUAUUUUCCACCCAUUCUAAGUGCUCCAGUGGUAAUAUUAGCAACCAUGGAUGAAUUUGAAUGCAGCUGUCUUACACAACCGCUGGCAUUAUUUCUCUACAUAGAAUAUUCCAGUACGCGGUUUGAAUUGCGUUUGCGAUCUUAAUUUGUUAUUGCAGACGCUGUUGCCACACCCUCCCCCACCUCUCAACUCAUUUAUUUAUAAUUUCCCGCCAAAGAUCUUCAGGUCUAGUGCUAAAAAGCCCGUCAAGCGCCAGCUUUUGAAAUCUUCGCUACCGUCAAAUGCACGAUUUCUAACUUAAUUUGACGACGGGCGAAAAAAGUGCUAAUCUGUCGGAACAAGAUUUGAAAAGUCUAAACGGGAAAGUAGAUUCUGACUCAGGCUUUUGCAAGGCCACGUCGAUAAUUCUUGCCAUGAACGGUCCAGCAUUUCACUGUUCUGUCCCGCCUGUCUUUUGCGUUAUAUAGCCAAGUUUAGCAAGUGUGACUGGACUAUAUAUAGAUCUUCGUUGACAAUCUUUAUCUUGUCUGCCAUUUCUUAGUGCCACGAAACCUUUCCAGUCCGAUCAAUCGCAAAUGUUAAUCUUUUUGGGAUAAAGAUCUGACUUAAGUCGGCGAUUAGACACAUCUUCCGGAGCUACCUAUUCCUCUCUUUCCUUCAUAUAGGCGUGGAGCUACCAUUUUUCUCAACCAUAACAAUUAUGUGUAAAAGCAUGUUAUUGUAGCAGGUUUUCCAGAGUAAGGGGAUUUCCCGGCGCCCGGCGCUCGGCGAGAUAUAAGAAGCCGUAUUUUCUCGUGCGCUCUACCAAGCUUGUGGCACAUCCGGACUGUCUAAUAUAUCAGAAUCCGGCCUUCAUUCGCUAACGAAGCGACAACGGGAAUUAAAUGAAAAUGAAGCGGCAAUUCGUGACCUUUACGUCAGUCCCUCUCUUCCCUCCGAGCCCCAAACAUCAAGCCACCACCCCCAAGUAACACACGAACGACGAUCAGGCAACUUGAUUCUAAUCGUCGUAGAAGAACUAGAGGAAAAAAGCGAAAGAAAGCGAUGCAGAAGGGGAAUGAAAAAAAAGUUUGGAUGAAAUGGACUCCGCCCACAAAUAACAGCAGAUUAAUUAACUGGUAAUUCCAUAAUGCGUCUGUACACGGUAUGAUCUUCACGUUUUUUUUCGAAGUAAGCCGGACACCAUGAACGCCGUCUGACUACCGACAAUACCAAAGAGAGAGAGAGAAUUGAUCGGGUUUCAGUUUCAGCCAGCAGGCACGAUCCGGGAUUGUUGGAUCUAUUGGAUAAAAACAAAAAAAAAAAAGGAACAUGUCGUGAGUGACCAUUAUUAUAAUUGUGCUUACAUAGGGUUUGUGGCAAUAGAAGGUGCGGUUUCGAUGCUUCCCUGUAUGGGAGUAUGGUGCUAUUUGAAAAGGUGUCACUACGGCCCGUUGGAUAAUGAUGUGUCAACAGAUUCUUCAUCGGCGAUUCGAGCUUCAAAAUGGCGGAUGUAUUCGAUAUAUUUUAGAGCUAGCGGAGAAGUUUAUAUAAUAUUUUUAGUUGUAGUCUAUGUUUAUUAUGUAAUUUGCUUGGACAACGAAUGCCCUUUGCAAAAAAAAGUAAUGAAUAUCGAGCUUUACAAUGAGCAGGUUUCGCGUAAUGGUUUUCUUAAAUAACAUAAUUGAAUACGACAGCGUUUUAUCGACUAUAGAGUUCUGACCGCGGCAGGUCAGACGCAUUUACGUCAUCUGAAAAGUAUAACGAUUUCAGGCAUCGGCUAAUUUGUGCUUCAGAAAAACAUGUCCUAAUCAAUUAACGAAUUCAAGUAUGUCGAUUCCUGCUUAGGUAGCUCAUUAUUGAUCCCUCCGGCCCCGUCAAUAAUGUUUAUCGUCAUGGUUAAAAAUGCUAGCUUGUAGCAAUAACGAUAAAAAAAAAAAAAUAGAAAGAAAAAACUGAAAAUCACAAGGUUAGGAUGCCGACUGCUCACUAGUAGACACUGAAUUAGGACAGCAAUUUAUAGGAAUCUAUUUACGUUAAAAGUCUGCCAAAAAAGAGACGUAUUUCGCAAUAGCUCUUUUGGAUAGAAAUGAUAGAAAUACGGCAAGAUGUGUAGAAUUGUCUUAUGAAAAACUCUGAGCAAAGCGUAUCGAUUCAGAGAGUCUUGUAAAUAUUAGUAAGAAUAUUGUAACCCGUUUCGUGGGGCGAAUAGUAGAAAAGAUGAUACGACAGUAUAUCAGUGUUUCGUGUUCUACGUCCAGCACUUAAAUCGUCGGGCACUAUCCCAGACAGCCUAUUUUCACAAUAGACUAUCUAUGCUCAUAUCAUUUGAACCUCGUGUCCAGCAGGCAAACACCUUACCCAUCCAGCUAUCACACAGAGGGUGAAUUAUCUAUACGUAUAGGAAACGAACAGUUUGAAAGAAAAAAAAAAAAGUCUUACAAGAAAACGUAUAAACCUUUCAUUAUUAUUUCUAACUUUUCUUUAUUUGACGCCUGAUUACGAUGUUGAAUUCUCUAGUGAUAUCUAUGGAACUAUAUUAUAUAUUUAUUGUUUAAAUGAAGAAAAAAAAGAGGAGACAACUUGUUAAUACGGACUUCCGCAUACAAAACCAAACGAAUACACUUCCUUCCUAUGUAAGGACAUCAA
This is a long non-coding RNA of Varroa destructor (honeybee mite), 6508 nucleotides long. RefSeq lists it as uncharacterized. Lineage: Eukaryota; Metazoa; Arthropoda; Arachnida; Mesostigmata; Varroidae. The record is from RefSeq and is a predicted model, not a curated record.